GGGCGGUUAGCUCAGCUGGUUAGAGCGCCUCGCUUACACCGAGGAAGUCGGGGGUUCGAGCCCCUCACCGCCCACCA
Molecule: transfer RNA, 77 nt
Filed under: Chloroflexota bacterium
Lineage: Bacteria; Bacillati; Chloroflexota
Also listed under: 1 other name
Description: Chloroflexi bacterium tRNA-Val
Rfam family: tRNA
About the family: Transfer RNA (tRNA) molecules are approximately 80 nucleotides in length. Their secondary structure includes four short double-helical elements and three loops (D, anti-codon, and T loops).
Source: RNAcentral